UCCGUAGCCUGCUCUGUAAGUUUUCGGUUAAAUCCAUCAGCUCAACUGAUGGGCCGCCGAAAAAACUGCAAAGCUAGGGAGUGGGAGAGGUAGACGGUACUCGAUAGGAAGGGGUAAAAUCCUUUGAUCUAUUGAUGACCCCCUGUGGCGAAGGCGGUCUACCAGAACACGUUCGACGGUGAGGGAUGAAAGCUGGGGGAGCAAACCGGAUUAGAUACCCGGGUAGUCCCAGCUGUAAACGAUGCAGACUCGGUGAUGCCCUGGCUUGUGGCCAGUGCAGUGCCGCAGGGAAGCCGUUAAGUUUGCCGCCUGGGAAGUACGUACGCAAGUAUGAAACUUAAAGGAAUUGGCGGGGGAGCACCACAAGGGGUGAAGCCUGCGGUUCAAUUGGAGUCAACGCCAGAAAUCUUACCCGAAGAGACAGCAGAAUGAAGGUCAAGCUGGAGACUUUACCAGACAAGCUGAGAAGUGGUGCAUGGCCGUCGCCAGCUCGUGCCGUGAGAUGUCCUGUUAAGUCAGGUAACGAGCGAGAUCCCUGCCUCUAGUUGCCACCAUUACUCUCAGGAGUAGUGGGGCGAAUUAGAGGGACCGCCACAGUUAAUGUGGAGGAAGGAAGGGGCCACGGCAGGUCAGUAUGCCCUGAAACUUUGGGGCCACACGCGGGCUGCAAUGGUAGUGACAAUGAGUUCCUAAUCCGAAAGGAGGAGGUAAUCUUCAAACGCUACCACAGUUAUGAUUGAGGGCUGCAACUCGCCCUCAUGAAUAUGGAAUCCCUAGUAACCGCGUGUCAUUACCGCGCAGUGAAUACGUCCCUGCUCCUUGCACACACCGCCCGU
RNAcentral lists this ribosomal RNA (836 nucleotides) under uncultured archaeon. Its description in RNAcentral is "bacterial SSU rRNA". It matches the Rfam family "Archaeal small subunit ribosomal RNA", at positions 518 to 1353 of the family's 1478-position model. The record is from RNAcentral.